Long non-coding RNA from Rhododendron vialii, 361 nucleotides. RefSeq lists it as uncharacterized. The record is from RefSeq and is a predicted model, not a curated record. The transcript is spliced from 3 exons. Lineage: Eukaryota; Viridiplantae; Streptophyta; Magnoliopsida; Ericales; Ericaceae.
UCUCUCUUUUACUUUCCCUCCACCAACUGUAUUUCUUUACACGCCUAUUCGAAUUCCUCUUUCUUUUCCCGGAAAGCACUUUUACGCGUCAAAAAACCGUGGUUGCUUCACAUUCCCUCCCACAAUAAAACAGGAAAAUUCGAGAAAAAAAGGGCCAGAGAGAAAGAGAUCGAAUUCUCAGAUGGGUUUAGCCUCUCUUUGGUCUGGGCUGCCCUCUGUAUGCCUCGAUUCGGGCAAUCGAGAACAAUUCCAGCUCGGAGAUGCGAAAUGUGGUGGCAUAUUGGAUUCUUUUCUCUCUGGUUUCUCUCUUUGAGCUUGCUUUUGUGAAACUUACUGACUGGUAAUUAAGUCUGCUCCAUUG